UACAGAGGGUGCGAGCGUUGUCCGGAAUCACUGGGCGUAAAGGGCGCGUAGGUGGCGACCCAAGUCGAUGGUGAAAGCUCGCCGCUCAACGGCGAGUCGGCCACCGAUACUGGGUUGCUGGAGCACUGUAGAGGCAGAUGGAAUUCCGGGUGUAGCGGUGGAAUGCGUAGAGAUCCGGAAGAACGACCGGUGGCGAAGGCGGUCUGCUGGGCAGUUGCUGACGCUGAUGGCGCGACAGCGUGGGGAGCAAACAGG
Molecule: ribosomal RNA, 255 nt
Filed under: uncultured bacterium
Lineage: Bacteria
Description: partial 16S ribosomal RNA
Rfam family: Bacterial small subunit ribosomal RNA
Source: RNAcentral